GGGCACGUCGGAUGCUUACACAUGCAGUCGAUUCAAGUUACCUUCGGGUAAUGAGGAUGGCGGACGGGUGAGUAACGCGUAAGGAACUUGCCUCUUGGACUGGGACAACUGUUGGAAACGACAGCUAAUACCGGAUAUUAUGAGAUUCUCGCAUGAGAAACUUAUGAAAGCUAUAUGCGCCAAGAGAGAGCCUUGCGUUCCAUUAGCUAGUUGGUGGGGUAACGGCCCACCAAGGCGACGAUGGAUAGCCGGCCUGAGAGGGUGAACGGCCACAAGGGGACUGAGACACGGCCCUUACUCCUACGGGAGGCAGCAGUGGGGAAUAUUGGACAAUGGACCAAAAGUCUGAUCCAGCAAUUCUGUGUGCACGAUGAAGGUCUUCGGAUUGUAAAGUGCUUUCAGUUGGGAAGAAGCAAGUGACGGUACCAACAGAAGAAGCGACGGCUAAAUACGUGCCAGCAGCCGCGGUAAUACGUAUGUCGCAAGCGUUAUCCGGAUUUAUUGGGCGUAAAGCGCGUCUAGGCGGAAAAAUAAGUCUGAUGUUAAAAUGCGGGGCUCAACUCCGUAUUGCGUUGGAAACUGUUUUUCUAGAGUACUGGAGAGGUGGGCGGAACUACAAGUGUAGAGGUGAAAUUCGUAGAUAUUUGUAGGAAUGCCGAUGGAGAAGUCAGCUCACUGGACAGAUACUGACGCUGAAGCGCGAAAGCGUGGGGAGCAAACAGGAUUAGAUACCCUGGUAGUCCACGCCGUAAACGAUGAUCACUAGGUGUUGGGGGUCGAACCUCAGCGCCCAAGCUAACGCGAUAAGUGAUCCGCCUGGGGAGUACGCACGCAAGUGUGAAACUCAAAGGAAUUGACGGGGACCCGCACAAGCGGUGGAGCAUGUGGUUUAUUUCGACGCAACGCGAGAACCUUACCAGCGUUUGACAUCCUAAGAAGUUCCAGAGAUGGGAUUCG
Molecule: ribosomal RNA, 957 nt
Filed under: uncultured bacterium
Lineage: Bacteria
Description: bacterial SSU rRNA
Rfam family: Bacterial small subunit ribosomal RNA
Source: RNAcentral